This 392-nucleotide ribosomal RNA is filed under the name uncultured bacterium. RNAcentral describes it as "bacterial SSU rRNA". It matches the Rfam family "Bacterial small subunit ribosomal RNA", at positions 29 to 417 of the family's 1533-position model. The record is from RNAcentral.
AUUGAACGCUGGCGGCAUGCCUUACACAUGCAAGUCGAACGGCAGCACGGGAGCAAUCCUGGUGGCGAGUGGCGAACGGGUGAGUAAUAUAUCGGAACGUGCCCAGUCGUGGGGGAUAACGUAGCGAAAGCUACGCUAAUACCGCAUACGAUCUAUGGAUGAAAGCGGGGGGAUCGCAAGACCUCGCGCGAUUGGAGCGGCCGAUAUCAGAUUAGGUAGUUGGUGAGGUAAAGGCUCGCCAAGCCGACGAUCUGUAGCUGGUCUGAGAGGACGACCAGCCACACUGGGACUGAGACACGGCCCAGACUCCUACGGGAGGCAGCAGUGGGGGAAUUUUUGGGACAAUGGGCGGCAAGCCUGAUCCAGCAAUGCCGCGUGCAGGAUGAAGGCCU